RNAcentral lists this transfer RNA (363 nucleotides) under uncultured Microcystis sp. Its description in RNAcentral is "partial 16S-23S ribosomal RNA intergenic spacer". The stretch from base 134 to 207 matches the Rfam family "tRNA". Lineage: Bacteria; Bacillati; Cyanobacteriota; Cyanophyceae; Chroococcales; Microcystaceae. The record is from RNAcentral.
AAAGGGAGACCUAAUUCGGGUAUAAGACGAAAAAAUAGUAGUCGAAACCAAGAAUCAAUCCCAAAAGGUCGGAACGAGGUAUGUGGCUUUCAAACUAGGUUCUGGGUUCAUAAAAGACCUGAAUCAGGAACAAGGGCUAUUAGCUCAGGUGGUUAGAGCGCACCCCUGAUAAGGGUGAGGUCCCUGGUUCGAGUCCAGGAUGGCCCACCUGCACAGGUGGCAAAAACAAGGAAAAGAAGCGAGGAAUCAGCACCUUAUCUUACUUAUAUAGUAAGAGAGAAUGCUGGCUCUGAGUACAGAGUCCAGAGGAACCUUGAAAACUGCAUAGAGCUAGGUGAAAAAGCCAAAAAAGAAGACCGCAAG